AUUAGAACAAAUGCAGUGACUACGGGACUACACUCCUAAAGCAUAUGGAUUCUGAAAGCUUUAAUUUGGUGGUUAUGUUUUGUUUUGUUUUGUUUUUGCAUACACAUGGAAGUUGCUCAACAGAGGGAAUUGCAAGCUCUGGAAAUCUCUGGAAUUGCUGUCAGGAAGCUGUGGCGUGAACUGAGGAUGGUGCUGAAGGAAGGAUCUGAAAGACCUUUGGCUGCUGGCAAAAGGGAGGAAAGCCAACAAAUUAGCCUGCUGGUAUUUGCAUGAAACUUGCUCUGAUGGAGGUUCCAAUGCAGCUGCUCUGUCCAGUCUCCCACCCUGGAGCAAAACAAAGCUUUGCUGCUGCUCUUAGACUAGAAGCCAAGGGAUGCUCCACGUUUCCCUGGUCCUCUUUCUUCAUGAGCACCCACCCUAUGCACCUUGCUGUAAUGCAUUAAACCACAGUGCUCCUCACAGUGAUGGCCUGCUUGGAAGAAAACUGGGGUCUCCAUAAACCAGUGAGUCUUCACCAUGAACUUGUUAUCUCCAUGCUCAUUCCCACAGGAUUUUUUUUUCUUUUUCCUAAAGUAAAGACUUCCCAUUCAGCCUUACAAUCCAAACUUCUUCCCAGCCAUGUUUGUGCAGCUCUGCGCCUCUGCCACGUGGACCAGCUUCAUGAACAUGUUUCCUAAUUAAACCUGAAUGGUACAUAAGGAAAUGUCUUCUACAACUAAUUAUUUCAUGCACAAUCUGAAAACUAGUCAAGAUCGUGUUUACGGUGUUAUUAGAUGUGUGUUCCUUUUCCAGCAUAGCUGAGAAAGGAAGCAUUUGUCUGAACUAAAGUCAGAUAGGGCUGUCCGCAGCCAUCAGACACAGACCAUGGCUUUGUCUCUGGCGUCAAAGGAGAUUUAAGGCAAUUCUCUGCCUUUGACGCUGCCUGGCAACAUUGGGAAGGCUUUUUUUUCCUAAUCUGUGAAACAGUAAGAAGCCAUUAAAUGGUGCAGAGAAGGAAGGAGGGCACAGACAUGACGUCUGUCUGUGCUGGCAGGGAGACUCUGCCUUGACGCUGGGAGGGAGACCACCGAGAUGCGUCCUUGCCACAGGGGAGGCACAGCCAAAGGUUCAACCCACGUGUUUGUACCGAGCAGUGCUUUUGACAUUUGCUUCCCACAAGAUUUUCCUUCUCAUUAGUGCUUGGUUCAUCAUUUUGUGUUACUAACAUGCAUCUUCAAUAUGAAACUAGAAAAAAUCAAAAAAUUAAAAUCUUCUGCAGAUCUAUUUAAUGAGACACGAGCACAAAUGGCAUUA
This is a non-coding RNA of Anas platyrhynchos (mallard), 1293 nucleotides long. NCBI's taxonomy places the organism in Eukaryota, Metazoa, Chordata, Aves, Anseriformes, Anatidae. The record is from RefSeq and is a predicted model, not a curated record.